This 540-nucleotide ribosomal RNA is filed under the name Triticum aestivum (bread wheat). Its description in RNAcentral is "partial small subunit ribosomal RNA". Lineage: Eukaryota; Viridiplantae; Streptophyta; Magnoliopsida; Poales; Poaceae. The record is from RNAcentral.
AUGAUUUGUAUGGGUGACCUUAAUGAUAUUUUGUAUGAUAUGGAUGGUUGUAAUGGUAAUGUUAAUUAUUAUUGUAUGUCUUCUUUUCGUGCUAUGAUAAAAAGAUGUGGCUUCUUUGACAUUGAUUUUAGUGGUCCUGCUUACACUUGGCGUAAUAGGCAGCAUACUGUUAUUACAAUUUAUAGACGUAUAUUGUUUUUCCUCGUUAAUGCGAAUUGGUGUUCUCUGUAUCCCAACUCUAAGGUUCUUAACUUGCCUAUCAUCAUUAGUGACCAUGCUCCCAUUCUCAUUUCCAUAGAUGGUAGUUUUGUUAAAGCUAAGCAAUCCUUCAAAUUUGAAAAUUGGUGGUUAAUGAAGAAGGAUUAUAAUAGCUUUGCUAAAUCUGCCUGGAACAAUGUUAGGUCUGCCUCUUUUGUUGCAAAAACGACAUCUUUGGCAGGAUCUUUGAAAAAAUGGUGUAGGAAGAAGAAACCCUUCCAACAAGAAUUGAAAGAGUUGGAGUUAAGCAUUAAUCAAAUCCGAAUGCUUCCUUGGAACUAG